GCAGAACAAUACAGGAUCGCUGAAUGAUAUGUUAAAAUGAAGACGAUGACAACACGACAGAUGGUAGAGCUCAUGAGUCUAUGCGUGGAAUGCACACGUGCCACAAGCACACAUGCUGCAGUGCAGGACGGUUUAACUGAAUUCUCACACUAACAGCUCGUCAUUGCAGGGACAUCAGGUCGCUCACCUGUUCUUCAGGCCCGGUACGGCUGCGAUGCAGAUGAUGCGAGCCGAGCAGACAGCAAUGCAAGCCUCCACUGUUGGCUCAUCGCGGAUGUUUAACAGACACACCUGACCCA
Xyrauchen texanus (razorback sucker) is the source of this 299-nucleotide long non-coding RNA. RefSeq lists it as uncharacterized. The transcript has 3 exons. The record is from RefSeq and is a predicted model, not a curated record. NCBI's taxonomy places the organism in Eukaryota, Metazoa, Chordata, Actinopteri, Cypriniformes, Catostomidae.